UGCCAGCAGCCGCGGUAAUACGUAGGUGGCAAGCGUUAUUCGGAUUUAUUGGGCGUAAAGGGUCCGUAGGGGGGUUGUUAAGUCUGAUGUGAAAGCCCGCGGCUCAACCGCGGAACUGCAUUGGAAACUGGCGAUCUAGAGCAUAGGAGAGGUGAGUGGAAUUCCUGGUGUAGCGGUGGAAGGCGUAGAUAUCAGGAGGAACACCGGAGGCGAAGGCAGAUCACUGGACUAUUGCUGAACCUGAGGGACGAAAGCUAGGGGAGAGAACAGGAUUAGAUA
RNAcentral lists this ribosomal RNA (279 nucleotides) under uncultured bacterium. Its description in RNAcentral is "partial 16S ribosomal RNA". It matches the Rfam family "Bacterial small subunit ribosomal RNA", at positions 506 to 784 of the family's 1533-position model. The record is from RNAcentral.